GUAUAUCAAACGAAAGGUCGUACAAGGUACAUUACGAAAACAUCACUUUUACAGGAAAGACCUUUCAAUUGUUUUACAAACAAUUGAGAUACUAGUUUUUUUCUUUUUUUUCUUCCAGCAUUGUUUUGGCACACCCUCCUACCGCGUCUAUAAGAGUUAUCAAUACCAAAUUUAAACCAUCGAUAGACCUCAUCAUGAACUUAUACCAGAUGAACUUUUGUAGGAUUUCAUCAUCCCCUUUAGAAGUUAUCUCCCUUAUAUUGAUUUUUUUCAACAUUGCCCCCCAUAAAUAUUUUAAAAGAUAUCAUAACUUUAUUUUGACAAUAGGUAGAUCUCAUCAUGAUGUGUUACCAUAUGAGGCUGCUAAGGAUUUCAUCAUCCAAUAUGAGAGUUAUGUCCCCUUGAAGCAAUUUUUUUCUUUUGCAUUUUUCUCAAAAAGUAUUAAAGAUAGAAUCGAUUUGAAAACGGCAGCAUGUACAAGACGAGAUGGCAUUGCUCAUAAACAUAUACAAUCAUUUUGUUGUUAACCCUUAUAAUGAGUUAUUUCCCUUGAAAAAAUAUACACAAUUUUUGAAAAAUUGUAUCUCGAGAUCCAGAAGUCGUAAAGACUUGGGACCUACUCUAAUAGUCUUAAGUUCAUGUGACCUUCAAUUUGCACCAAGGUCAAAGGUCACCGAGUGCAAAAAAAAAAUUGCGCUGCAAUUUCAAGCUUACAUAUUAGGAAAACCAUAAGACUUUGCUGCAUACAUACAGCGUAUAAAAUGUUCCUCUCGACGAGCUCUACAUUUUAUAUAAUAAGCCCAAAAAUGUCCGACCGUCUGUUCAAAAGUUACUACGGGAUGAUUCUUAAAAGUAUAGUAUUUUGCGUAUAUCUUUUUAAAGGUAACAGAUAUCAACCUACUAUAAACUGCAAAGAUGAUCAGUAAGUCAAGACCUUCAAUUUGAGGUCAAUGUCAGGUCAUGAUGAAAUUUCACCUUGACCUUCACAUAAUACUAUGACCUUGACCUUGUGAUAUUUGAAAGGUCAAGUGGUCUUGUGUUGAAUGGUGAUAGUCCCAUGUCUCUACGACUUCCGGUUCUCAAGUUUGGUAUUGCAUCAUAUAUUUGAUGAUUAAUUGUGACCUUGGUGAACUUUGAAAUUGUCCC
Molecule: long non-coding RNA, 1146 nt
Filed under: Mytilus galloprovincialis (Mediterranean mussel)
Lineage: Eukaryota; Metazoa; Mollusca; Bivalvia; Mytilida; Mytilidae
Source: RNAcentral